RNAcentral lists this ribosomal RNA (497 nucleotides) under uncultured bacterium. Its description in RNAcentral is "partial 16S ribosomal RNA". It matches the Rfam family "Bacterial small subunit ribosomal RNA", at positions 38 to 507 of the family's 1533-position model. The record is from RNAcentral.
GGGGGGGGGGGGGGGGGGGGCGGGGGCGGGGAGGUGGGGGGGAGGGGUGAGGAGGUUGCUGGUCUGGCGUUGGCGGGGGGGGGGUGGGUAACGCGUGGAUCACCUACGUAUAAGACUGGGAUGACUGCGGGACCCCGGCGCUGGUACCGGAGAAGAUUGUGAACCGCAUUGUUCCAGAGUGAAAGCCGGUUUUGCUGUGUCUGAUUGCUGGAUCGGCGCCGAUUGAGCGAGUUGGGCAGGUAACGGCUUACCAAGGCAACGAUGCGGAGCCGAACUAAGGGGGUGAUCGGCCCCCAUGGAACUGAGACACGGUCCAGACUCCUACGGGAGGCAGCAGUAGGGAAUCUUCCGCAAUGGGCGAAAGCCUGACGGAGCAACGCCGCGUGAGUGAUGCAGGUCUUCGGAUCGUAAAACUCUGUUAUUAGGGAAGAACAAAUGUGUAAGUAACUAUGCACGUCUUGACGGUACCUAAUCAGAAAGCCACGGCUAACUACGUG